Molecule: ribosomal RNA, 207 nt
Filed under: uncultured bacterium
Lineage: Bacteria
Description: partial 16S ribosomal RNA
Rfam family: Bacterial small subunit ribosomal RNA
Source: RNAcentral
AGCGUAGACGGCGCAGCAAGUCUGAUGUGAAAGGCAGGGGCUUAACCCCUGGACUGCAUUGGAAACUGCUGUGCUUGAGUGCCGGAGGGGUAAGCGGAAUUCCUAGUGUAGCGGUGAAAUGCGUAGAUAUUAGGAGGAACACCAGUGGCGAAGGCGACUUACUGGACUGUAACUGACGUUGAGGCACGAAAGUGUGGGAGGCAAACA